UGUAAGGUGUCCAGUGGCCACUAUGCAAAACUCUUGCGAGAGAGGUGGCGAGUUCGCUGUCCUUGUCGCUAUACUAAGACGUGGCUGGAUAAAAUUCUAAACCAAAACGUUGUGGAUACUUCAGCCUUCAGAUCAGAUAUUCAAAAAAUUUACAUGUAGGUAUCCACCUUCGUCCGGCGUUUCUUCAAGAGAAAUCAGUGCCGUAAAAUGCCCCAAGAAUUUGCCCAAAGAACACCAUAAACGUAUCAUGUCCGACCCUUAUAUACACAUAUAAUAAAGCUUCGGACAGAGAGUAUAAAGUUCAAAAUGGUAUUACGAUUUACAUCCUUCGAGAAAAAUAACCUUGUUCGGAAGUGAGAAAGCUUUCCACCUAUUCACUGAAAAUAAAAUGUAAAAAACUGGAUGUUUUAAAGAAAAUUAAAAACAAGGAAGUUUUGCCGAUUGCGCCUGGUACCUAAUCUACUCCGUGUAAAGAAGAAAUUAACACAACUUUCUUGGAUAUUUAUUACGCUACUUUUAUUACUUUACUUUUACGAGGCUGAAAUUUAAACAGAAAAGUACUUACCUAUUGUGCCUGCUAAUGUUUCAAAUUAAUGAUUGAGAAUAAAUAAACAUUGAGUAAGUCUGGC
This is a long non-coding RNA of Helicoverpa zea (corn earworm), 629 nucleotides long. RefSeq lists it as uncharacterized. The record is from RefSeq and is a predicted model, not a curated record. Lineage: Eukaryota; Metazoa; Arthropoda; Insecta; Lepidoptera; Noctuidae. The transcript has 3 exons.